Molecule: ribosomal RNA, 460 nt
Filed under: uncultured bacterium
Lineage: Bacteria
Description: partial 16S ribosomal RNA
Rfam family: Bacterial small subunit ribosomal RNA
Source: RNAcentral
CCUACGGGUGGCAGCAGUGAGGAAUAUUGGUCAAUGGACGGAAGUCUGAACCAGCCAUGCCGCGUGCAGGAAGACGGCUCUAUGAUUUGUAAACUGCUUUUGUACAAGGGUAAAUCUGAAUACGUGUAUUCCGCUGAACGUACUGUACGAAUAAGGAUCGGCUAACUCCGUGCCAGCAGCCGCGGUAAUCCGUAGGGGCCGAGCGUUAUCCGGAAUUAGUGGGGGGAAAGAGAGCCUAGGUGGCACUACAAGUUUCAAGUGAAAUACCCGGGCUUAACUUGGGGGUUGCAUGGAAUACUGUAGGGCUGGAGUGCAGGAGAGGCAAGCGGAAUUCCUAGUGUAGCGGUGAAAUGCAUAGAUAUUAGGAGGAACACCAGUGGCGAAGGCGGCUUGCUGGACUGAAACUGACGUUGAGGCCCGAAAGCGUGGGGAGCAAACAGGAUUAGAUACCCGAGUAGUC